GACGAACGCUGGCGGCGUGCUUAACACAUGCAAGUCGAACGGAAAGACCCUGCUUUUGCGGGGCUCUCGAGUGGCGAACGGGUGAGUAACACAUGAGUAUCCCGCCCUUGACUUUGGGAUAUCUUCAGGAAACUGCGGCUAAUACCGGAUAGAAGCUCCUGAUGCACGGGGGGGGUUGGAAAGUUUCGGCCGUUGUGGAUGGACUCGCGGCUUACCAGCUUGUUGGGGGGGUAGUGGCUUACCCAGUUUUUGAAUGGUAGCCGGCCUGAGAGGGUGGCCGGCGACCUUGGGACUGCGGUACGGCCCAGUCUCCUACGGGAGGCAGCAGUGGGAAAUCUUGCACAGUGGGGGGACGCCUGAUGCAGCAGCGCCGCGUGCGGAAUGCCGGCCUUCGGGUUAUAAACCGCUUUCGCCUGAGACGAAGCGUGAGUGACGGUAAUGAGUAAAGAAGCACCGGCUAACUACGUG
RNAcentral lists this ribosomal RNA (468 nucleotides) under uncultured bacterium. Its description in RNAcentral is "partial 16S ribosomal RNA". It matches the Rfam family "Bacterial small subunit ribosomal RNA", at positions 28 to 507 of the family's 1533-position model. The record is from RNAcentral.